RNAcentral lists this small RNA (69 nucleotides) under Acididesulfobacillus acetoxydans. Its description in RNAcentral is "Peptococcaceae bacterium INE non-coding RNA". The record is from RNAcentral. Lineage: Bacteria; Bacillati; Bacillota; Clostridia; Eubacteriales; Peptococcaceae.
GUUUCAAUUCCUCAUAGGCAGGCUAUCGGCUUUGACAUUGUAAAUUCUGAGAUUGAUCGCCUUGUCAUG